CUUACCUUUAAGCCAUGUAAAACUAGUAGUAAUCUAUUAUUCUUUGAAACAUGGUAAGCAAGUUGGGUUAAUUGAUUUAUUUUUAUAGGUUAGAAACCAUUAUGCAAAAUUGGUAUUGUUUUAACACAAACAUAAGCUGAAAGAGUAUAGAUGGAGAAAAAUGAAAUGUGAUGUUCUGUGAAAACUGUUAAUUUUGUUAUCUUCUCUGAUCUACAAAGCUACAUUGUACUGUCACUGUGCCAGCAUAGAAUUUCCAUUUGUAUAUUUUAAAAAAAUAUAUCUUUUGAUGGAAUCAUCAAUAGUAGGAGCAGGUCAUUGUUAAUAAAAAGAGGCAUACGUUUGAGCAGCAGUUAAUUUAAUACGAAUGUGCAUUCAUGGUUAAAUUGGACAAUGUGGUAAAUCUAUGAUUACUCUGUGUAAGAAAAAAGAAACAAAUCUGUGAUGUCUCCCGAUAACAAUAAAUGAUUAACUAUGGCCUUAAUUUCAAAUACUUUCCAAACGAUUCAAUACUGUUAGAAACAUUUCCAAAUGAUUAAUUUAUAAAAACUCCUAUAGACGUUAACAGUGACAUCUGUGGAUAUAUCUCUUGGAAAGUUUUUCUAACAGUACUGAAAUAAUUUGAAAAGCUUAAUAAAUUGAGGCCUAUGUAUACCCAGGUUGAGCUACUGUGUGAAACCUUGGUUCACAGGUACAAGUAUGAUAUCCCCUUCUCUGCUUGUGUCCUUACAAGACCACCGCCCUUUAUUUUUAAUUUUUUUCUAGUUUCCAUUAUUACAUUCAGCAUGUUUCCUAUUAAAUUCAGUACAGUUCAUCUGCUAUUGGUUCUCUUAUCAACUCUUACAAGCUCUUUCUAUUGCUCUGUUCCAUUCUCAUAUGGUCUGUCUGCUUUUGUAUUUAUUUAGAGUUGUUAGAUUGUUUAACUUCUUAAGGACACAUGAUUAACAUUUUCUAUCAUGCUGGCCUUUUACUUCUGAAGCUGUGUCCUUAAGGGGUUAAGUACUAGCUGAAAAGUAACGUUGACACUCUUAAAGAACCACUAAAGUCAUCCAGACCACUUUAUCUCAAUGAAGUGGUCAGGGUUCAGUGUCCCUCUCCUUUUAACCCUGCAAUGUAAAACAAAUGCAGUUUUGUAGAAACUGUAAUGUGUACAUUGUACAGUUAAACACUCCUCUACCUAUUAGAAGCAUUUAAUUCUACACCUAUGAGGAGCAUUGGGUUGGCUAACUGUUUGAGAACCAAAUUAUGUUGUUGAGGGCAAAGUGGCUGGCAGUGCUGAAGGAGUCUCGGAGAAAUGGUAAGUAAAAGUCUUUAGGGGAGACUUUAAAUGAAUCUGCCGCUAGGGACCUAUAGUGUUAGGAAUAUAGAUUUGAAUUCCUAAUGCAACAGUGUUCCUUUAACUCUAAACUGAAAAUCUGUUGUGUUUACACUUUGUACAAAGGGGUAUUGCCUAAUGUCAGAUUCAAUAUCAAGGUGUUAAGGCCAGGCUCUAUCAAAACCGAAGAACUCUGUGCCUUGGUAUGCUGUUGGUUUAAUGAGCAUGACCUUUAUUCGGCAGCUUAUUAUGUUAAUGUUGUCUUUAUCCUGCCUCCUAGACUGUCACACAUGCUAAAUUUAAAUUGCAUCUACCAGGCUACUGAAUUAUUAAGGUUUAACAUAUGAAAACUUACUGAUUUUUCAUGGUAGCCAUUGUUUCAGGGCCCUGGCCUGCCUGCUGAUUAUGUUUCCUAGUGUCCUUCAUCGGGGCACCAGGACACUAUAUUGAAUCAGCACAGAUGCUUGUACUGUUCUACAGGUGCUAGAGACAUGCAUAGAGCACUUUAGAGGCACUCUUUGCAUGACCUUUUCUGUUGAGGGAUGGCUUCCGGCUGCCUGUCAUCUUAACGUGCUUGAAGCCAGAUUGACACAUUUCUUCAGUGGGUGAAACAGCCCAUUGGGGCAUCAUCAGUGAGGCAAGUUUAAGGCCCAUUGGAUUGGUCUACAUUCCUACAUGCUGAUACCUUAUGAGUGAUCCACAUGAAACCUUAGGAACCUCAAUGCCUUUUGAUAUUCAAUAAAUGGAGUCUCCAUUUUAAAAAAGCCAAUUUUCUGGGGUAAAUGCUACGCUUAGUGAGAUCAGGUGUCAAGGUGUCAAAUUAACCCUGUGGUACUGAAGUGAGAGCAAAAUAAGCUCACUGAGAGCAGAUCAGCUUUCUAGAGGCAUGUUAAAUACAUGCUAAAAAUAGUAAGGGACCUCCGGACCCCAAUAAUACUGUUUAGCCACACGAUGAGUGGCCCAUAAUCAAUUGGGGCCUGUGCAUUCAUGGAUAUAUCUGAGAUGUACAAAUUUGUAGCAUCUGCUAUAAGUUAAGAUUUGACAUAUUUUGAUUUCCAUAUAUUAAAUUCUUUAGGUGGAAUUUAUUAAAACAAAAGUACAUUUUAAAAAAGUUACCUUGAUAGAAUGUGAAAUAUUUGAAUAUGCGUGUGAAGUUUUCCAACAAACUUUUUAUUUCCGUUAAUUUGGCUUAUGCCAAAAGCAUCUCAUUGGUUUUUCUGUUUAUACAUCAUGUAUUGAUUGUUGUCUUGAUGAACAGCCUCAACCUGUCCAGCAAAAUGGUGUGAAAAAGCCUCACUGGUAGAGAUCUUUCUCUCAAGCUUUUUUGUAGAGAAUGAGGACAUUGAAAUAAGACACAACAUAGCAUUGUAAUAGCAUGCAUCAAAGAGGAAGGAAAAAAACCACAGUACACAUUUCUUCUUCUUCCCAAAAGAUUACAAGGUAAAGAAACAUUGCAGGUUUUUACGUCUUCCCUGGGGCAUGGUCAACACAUCCACCCUGUUCUCCAUAGGUUUGUUGCACUGAAAAGAGAUAAACAGAAAUGUAUACACACACAGAGAACACUGAGACACCUUCAUUGACUCACAUGGCGACUAAAAGGAUAUUGUGUAAGGUGGGAACAAAUCCACAAUGCAUCCAAAGUAAUUCAAUAGAGUUACAAAAUACAAAAAUGCACAGACUGUUUUUUUAAGGUUUUUCAUUUGUUAAUUUUUGUAACUACAAUGUUCAGUAUUUUAAUAACUAUAAAUAUUAGACGUGUGCAUUUAGUUUUGGCCGAAUUGCAAUUCAAGCAGCUAGUAGCUACUAGCUGUUUGGCCGAAUUCCGCAUUUAUGAAGCACCAGGCAGAUGCAUGAACACACAACUAGUGCAAUAGACCAGCAUGUUCGUUUAAUUUAGAAAUCAGAGGUCUACCUGUGUCACCCAAAAAAAAAGAGAUGAUUGAUGAAAAAAAAAAAAAUUGAUGGCUAGGAGACAGACUUUAAAUGUAGAUUAUAUUCACAGAUCAAGUAAGAAUUGACUAAUAGAGGGGAAAAAAGAAGGAGCAGAAAAAAAUAUAUAUAGUAUACAGAUAUUGAUAUUUUUUUUUUCUCUUUCUUGGUUACAUUUUUCUCACUUGAUCUGUGAACCAAAGAGCAGAUUGUGCGACUAUCAGUACAUUGAGAACUAUAUACAUAAUAAUUAUAUUAUAUACAAAGAUUUGCUACAGUGUUGAUGUUCCAGGAGGGAUAAGCCAAAUGGCAAAUAAUUUAGGUAAACUAGAAAAAUGGUCAGAGUUGUGGCAGGUGACAUUUGAUGUGGAUAAGUGCAAGAUAAUGCAUCUUGGACGUAAAAACCCAAGGGCAGAGUACAGAAUAUUUGAUAGAGUCCUAACCUCAACAAAUGAGGAAAGGGAUUUAGGGGUGAUUAUUUCUGAGGACUUAAAGAUAGGCAGACAAUGUAACAGAGCAGCAGGAAAUGCUAGCAGAAUGCUUGGUUAUAUAGGGAGAGGUAUUAGCAGUAGAAAGAGGGAAGUGCUCAUCCUAUUGUACAGAGCACUGGUAAGACCUCACUUGGAGUGUUGUACGCAGUACUGGAGACCGUAUUUCCAGAAGAUUUCAGAGAAGGACUACAAAACAAGUUUAUGAAUUGCGGGGUAAAACUUACUAGAAAAGGUUAAAGGUUUUUUCAAAUGUAUAACUUGGAGUAAAGACGAGACAGGGGGCAUAUGAUAGAAGAAUUUAAACACAUAAAGGGAAUCAACAUAGUAAAGGAGACUAUAUUUAAAAAGAAAAAGAAAAACUACAACAACAAGAGGACAUAGUCUUAAUUUAGAGGAGAAAGGGUUUAAAAAUAAUAGCAGGAAGUAUUACUUCACUGAGAGGGUAGUGGAUGCAUGGAAUAGCCUUCCAGAUGAAAUGGGAAUUUUUAAACAUGGACUAAUGAAAGUAUUUAGAAAAUUGGGCAGGCUAGAUGAGCCGAAUGGUUUUUACCUGCCGUCACAUUCUAUGUUUCUAUGUAUAUAUUUUACAGUACAAUGAUUGGCUAAUUUUUGCUCCAUUUUUUUGUUUGUCUGAAUCGUUCUCUUGAUUAUUUUUCAUGGAUGAUAUUUGAACCAGCUAGACCAUCAAAUGAAUGAGCGUCCAAAACGAAAUUUCAUUUACAGAAUGAACCAAAUUUUUCUGCUAUACACAAGUCUAAUCAUUAUGUCAAUUAAAUCAUUCAUGACAACGGUUAGGUAAAGCCUGUCUUAAUAUGUCACUUGUCGUGACAUGGUUACAAUGAAUGUAUUUCAUAUUUUUGUCACUGUUUUUCUGCAUGAGGUCACAUAAAAUGGUUGCUGAGGCAUGUUUCUAAAUAUGACUUAAAAGGAAAAAGCAUUGAUCAUCAUUGCAAGCUAUGUAUAAAUAUAAAUCCAGCUGAGCAAAAACACACUUCAGUAAAAAUGCCAAGGGACAAAAUACUUAAGUGUCAUCAUUUAUAACCAAAUUGGCACAAGUCGUAUGUGUUCACUGUUCCUACAUAUUAAAUUAUUCAGCAACAUACCUGGGAACCAUGAUGGCUGAGUGAGCUGGAAAUUUCAAUCUUUCUGCAGCUGCAAGAAAAGGGUUGGGUUUAACCAAGGGAGGUCUUCAUUUAUAUAUUUGUUAAUUAAUACAAUAGUUUUGACCAAGAGGCCUGGGUGAGUGGCUUCCUUUACAUAGCAAAUUUCCAACGUAUGAGGCUAAGUAUGUGGCUAGAACCUUUAUAGUGUAUCUCUUUAUUCUCCUGUAUUAUGAAAUUUGCCAUAAAAAAUUCUGACUUUGGCACAGUGUCAGUACAUUGUCCUUAAAGUGCUUCUAGAGAAAGUCACUAGUGUCUUAUGUCACAGAACACACAACUAAAGUUACAGAAGUGAGUCCCUAGUUCUGUUGUCUGCAUCCCUCAGAAAGAUUCCAUGCCUUUAAGGGGAGCAAAUUCCAAUGAGCCCUUCACAUGCUCUAUGUAAUAACAAUAGUAAUGUGAGUUCCAUGCCUUUUUAUUAAUAAACAUCUGAACAAAG
This 5331-nucleotide long non-coding RNA is filed under the name Pelobates cultripes (western spadefoot toad). Lineage: Eukaryota; Metazoa; Chordata; Amphibia; Anura; Pelobatidae. The record is from RNAcentral.